UCUAUGUUCAGCUUAAGCUUGAAAAGAAGAGGAAGCUUAUCACUAAGAAAACUAGGAGGAAUCAUUUCAUUGCUAGACGAAGCUUGGUAUGCUUUUUAAGUGUUUAUCUCCUCAUUUAUGAUGCUCUACCUUGUGAUUCUUGGUUGGCUCUUUGUAUAUUUUUGUGGCAGGUUUGUGGGGGAUUAAAUGAGUCAUACUUAAGCUGAAGAGGCUUGUGAAUUCACAAGAAAAGUUGUACCAGAUGGCUAGCUAGUUGCAUAAUUAAUAUAUUUAGUAUUUUUUUUCUAAGACGUCAUAGUAUUUGAUAGAGCAGUUGUUGAAUUUUGACUAUAUUCAAAAUGGUGUAUGAAUUCUUUUUUAUGAUAAUAAUAUAUGGAUUUUGAUUA
This is a long non-coding RNA of Salvia miltiorrhiza (redroot sage), 386 nucleotides long. RefSeq lists it as uncharacterized. The transcript is spliced from 2 exons. The record is from RefSeq and is a predicted model, not a curated record. NCBI's taxonomy places the organism in Eukaryota, Viridiplantae, Streptophyta, Magnoliopsida, Lamiales, Lamiaceae.